Molecule: ribosomal RNA, 264 nt
Filed under: uncultured archaeon
Lineage: Archaea
Description: partial 16S ribosomal RNA
Rfam family: Archaeal small subunit ribosomal RNA
Source: RNAcentral
ACACGACUACAUUAGAUACCCGGGUAGUCCCAGCCCUAAACGAUGCGCGUUAGGUGUAUCGGUGACCACGAGUCACCGAGGUGCCGAAGGGAAACCGUGAAACGUGCCGCCUGGGAAGUACGGUCGCAAGGCUGAAACUUAAAGGAAUUGGCGGGGAGCACCACAACGGGUGGAGCCUGCGGUUUAAUUGGAUUCAACGCCGGAAAUCUUACCGGGACCGACAGCAACAUGAAGGCCAAGCUGAAGACUUUGCCGGAUUAGCUG